Gallus gallus (chicken) is the source of this 393-nucleotide long non-coding RNA. Lineage: Eukaryota; Metazoa; Chordata; Aves; Galliformes; Phasianidae. The record is from Ensembl.
UGCACAGUAAUGCAUGCCACAGCUAUGUAUGUGAGCAGAGGAGUAGGGAUAUGAAUUAGGAUCUGAAUACUUGUCAUGAAUAUGAAAGUGACUACAGCUGUGACCUUGACCUUGUGUUCGUUUAUGCGUUUGCAUUCUUCAAAGUCUCUGCUACCUCCUGCAGCAGCUUUGCUAGGACAGAAACAUUAAAAUCUAUCACUUGGAUUCCUUAGCUGUACGACUGCAGUGUAUGUAGGACUUCAAAAUAGAUAAGGCAGACCUCAAUAGAACAGGAGUAAAUUCUUUCCAAAUGGCUCAAAGGCACGAAGCUGCACACUGGGCAAGAAAACAGAGCUGAUGAUAGGACUCCUUCUGGCAGGCUCUGAACAUUUCAAAACUAGACUGUGAUUUAAU